RNAcentral lists this ribosomal RNA (45 nucleotides) under Melampsora epitea. RNAcentral's name for it is "partial 18S ribosomal RNA". Lineage: Eukaryota; Fungi; Basidiomycota; Pucciniomycetes; Pucciniales; Melampsoraceae. The record is from RNAcentral.
AGUGCGUAACACGGUUUCCGUAGGUGAACCUGCGGAGGAUCAUUA